CGAAGAUCGAUCUUGUCACCCUAUCUAAACGUCUAAACCUAUCUCCUGUCAUUUAGCUUGUUUACAUUCCGCAUGCCAUAAUAAGGGACACGCGGUUUGUCGGCACGGUUACUCGUAACAUUCUCCCCCCCGUUACGCGCCGCACUUGAUUGUCAGCAGCUCGAUACACCUUUACAAUUCGUCCCCUAGGCCAGCAGUUCCGCGGGUUGUUUCCAUCCGCAACCAAUACCAAGUCGCCUUCAUCUAAUGGUUUCGUCUGCUUGUACCAUCUCGAUCGCUUCGUUAGUGUUGGAUUUACGCACGGACGGAGUGGAAUCGUCAAAGGGUAGCGGAGGCUUGCUUCCGUUCGAACUGCCUAAAAUGAAAUGAUUUGGCGUUAAGGGAGAUUCAGCUUCAUCUUCGAGUGGAAUUUCUGUCAGGGGUCGUGAGUUAACAAUCAGCUCCACUUCACUCAACCUAGCCCGUAAUAGCUCAUCGGUGGGGUGAUGAG
This is a long non-coding RNA of Anopheles arabiensis, 490 nucleotides long. RefSeq lists it as uncharacterized. The record is from RefSeq and is a predicted model, not a curated record. The transcript is spliced from 3 exons. NCBI's taxonomy places the organism in Eukaryota, Metazoa, Arthropoda, Insecta, Diptera, Culicidae.